Transfer RNA from Camelus ferus (Wild Bactrian camel), 72 nucleotides. It matches the Rfam family "tRNA". From Rfam's summary of the family: Transfer RNA (tRNA) molecules are approximately 80 nucleotides in length. Lineage: Eukaryota; Metazoa; Chordata; Mammalia; Artiodactyla; Camelidae. The record is from Rfam.
GUGAGUAUAGCUCAGUGGUAGAGUGUAGGCUUAGCAUGCAUGAGGUCCUAGGUUCAAUCCCCAGUACCUCCA